AUACGUAGGGUGCGAGCGUUGUCCGGAAUUACUGGGCGUAAAGAGCUCGUAGGUGGUUUGUCGCGUCGUCUGUGAAAUUCCGGGGCUUAACUCCGGGCGUGCAGGCGAUACGGGCAUAACUUGAGUACUGUAGGGGAGACUGGAAUUCCUGGUGUAGCGGUGAAAUGCGCAGAUAUCAGGAGGAACACCGGUGGCGAAGGCGGUUCUCUGGGCAGUAACUGACGCUGAGGAGCGAAAGCAUGGGUAGCGAACAGGAUGAGAUACCCUGGUAGUCCAUGCCGUAAACGGGGGGCGCUAGGUGUAGGGGUCUUCCACGACUUCUGUGCCGUAGCUAACGCAUUAAGCGCCCCGCCUGGGGAGUACGGCCGCAAGGCUAAAACUCAAAUGAAUUGACGGGG
This 398-nucleotide ribosomal RNA is filed under the name uncultured bacterium. Its description in RNAcentral is "partial 16S ribosomal RNA". It matches the Rfam family "Bacterial small subunit ribosomal RNA", at positions 523 to 918 of the family's 1533-position model. The record is from RNAcentral.